UUUUCUUUUUUUUUCCAUUCUCGAGAAUUGGAUUUGGUCAUUCCGAUUUCAAAGGGAUCCCACUAAUCUUUAAUGACUAAUUAACAGUACAACGAUUCCUCCAACGAUUCUGUCUGCUGACCUGCACUAUUUCAGGCUGUCUGAACAGUGUUGGACAAGUGAGUUCAACUAAUCUACCUUGAUGGAAAUCAGGGCCAAGAUGUGAACAAAGAAGCUUUUAUUCAACAUAAUAUGUGCAAGUAUUGCUGUGGAGUAAACUGUCACCAGAACAGGCGAGUGCAGCUUCUGGGAGCCGAGCCAAAAAGCGGAGCCCUGUUUGCAGCUCCUGCUGGCACUUUUACAACAGAGGGGUGAUUGACUCCAUGCCAGCGUACACACUUUGACCUGACCUUGUCGAUGGAUGCAGCACUCUGAGAAAAGCAGGUUUGUUAUUUGGGCUGUAGGACUCCAGUCUCAAGAUGUUUUCUGUAUUGAUUUGAACCUGUCUGGGUAUCUGGAUUUGGAUUGUCUCAGUCUCGGGCAUGGGUCUGACUAAAUAUGGUCUUGGUCUCAACUGAGAGUUAAAAUGAAUUAUCAGGUUGCCUUUCCUUUUUUGACAAGAAUAAUUGUUUUUAUAAAUCAAAAUACCUAAUGACUGGCACAAUUCUUUUCCUCCUUCUCCUCAUGCUCCUCCUCCUCUUCAACGCACAAUGGAAACCAAGUGGUUUCAUUCAGUAGUAAAAGCAUUGCAUGAAAGUGAAGUUGAAGGUUUUCAGUCACAUCCUCGUUGAUGCUGAGAUUUGACCUCACAACCACCUCAUGUGUAGCUCAAAGGCUUAACUAAUGAGCCAUCGCUUCCCUCAACUACUCUGAACUAAUUCUACCACCUCUACCGUUCAAACAACUGAAUAAAAGCAGAAUUUUACUGCUUAACUAAGACACAGAUUUUAACUAGCAUAUAAACUUCAGAGAGCAUUUGUGCUCGCAUAAAUUAGUCGCUAACAUAAAAGGUACGAAAGCAAAUCUGUUCAUUUUCAUUCUCACUCCUGGAUAAAACGACAUAUAUCCCAGUAUACACUGCACAUUCUGGUGUUUACUCUAAACCAGUGCACUGCUAAAACUGCUUACUCAUGCAGUGCAGUAGCACUGCUAAAAACUUAUUAAAUGACAUACUUUGGAUCCCAAUGAUUUUUUUCUUAAUUAAAAACUAAGGUCUUUAAAAACGCAUAGGUGAAUUCUCACAUCCGAAUAAUUGCCAAAGUAAAAGUAGGAAAGUAUACAAUGAAAAACAAAACUGCUCAACUACUCAUUACACAGAAUUUUAAUUAGUUUACAUUUAUAGCAUUAAUCUGUAAUCUUCCACUUCUCUUCAUACAGGGAAUUUCUUUUAUUGGUCCAAUCCCAAAAGGCUAUCUAUUCACUAUAUUCUGCUCUAAUGUAUAAUCUACAAUAAUAAUAUAUCUAUAAUUUCAAUUAUUCAAUCUUCUUUUGUUUGAUUUCGUGUUUAUUCUUAUUUAUUGUGCUGUAACUGAAAUGAAAUAAUAUAUCUUUGCCUUGUUUUAAGACUCUUUUCUAUUCUUAUUUACCUCAUGUUAUUUUUUAUUAAACGUGAUUAUUAUGUUUUCACUUUCCUGAUAUAGACAUCUCGAGUUCUGGCUCAGAACAAGGAAAAUAUCUUUGUUUUAAGCUUUAUUUUUUUAUUAUUAUUAAUUUUCAUUUUGAGUAAAGAGUGGGAUGUAAUUUAAUAUGUAGCACACAAUAUUUCUGAUUUUUCUAUUUCUGGUGCCUCUGACUGCGAGUGACCUUUUUCUCACUACGGUUCAUGGAGAAAGAAUGAAUAUUUUGUGAUUUCAUCUGGCUUACCAAUAUCAGACUGCCAAGAAGGCUGAAAUUGUUCAAAUUUAAAGAAAAUAGGCCUGAUAAGUGAAAAAGUAAUAAAAGAAA
Long non-coding RNA from Hemibagrus wyckioides, 1923 nucleotides. RefSeq lists it as uncharacterized. The transcript is spliced from 4 exons. The record is from RefSeq and is a predicted model, not a curated record. NCBI's taxonomy places the organism in Eukaryota, Metazoa, Chordata, Actinopteri, Siluriformes, Bagridae.